This 471-nucleotide ribosomal RNA is filed under the name Salmonella enterica. Its description in RNAcentral is "partial 23S ribosomal RNA". It matches the Rfam family "Bacterial large subunit ribosomal RNA", at positions 2263 to 2733 of the family's 2925-position model. Lineage: Bacteria; Pseudomonadati; Pseudomonadota; Gammaproteobacteria; Enterobacterales; Enterobacteriaceae. The record is from RNAcentral.
GGGUAGUUUGACUGGGGCGGUCUCCUCCUAAAGAGUAACGGAGGAGCACGAAGGUUGGCUAAUCCUGGUCGGACAUCAGGAGGUUAGUGCAAUGGCAUAAGCCAGCUUGACUGCGAGCGUGACGGCGCGAGCAGGUGCGAAAGCAGGUCAUAGUGAUCCGGUGGUUCUGAAUGGAAGGGCCAUCGCUCAACGGAUAAAAGGUACUCCGGGGAUAACAGGCUGAUACCGCCCAAGAGUUCAUAUCGACGGCGGUGUUUGGCACCUCGAUGUCGGCUCAUCACAUCCUGGGGCUGAAGUAGGUCCCAAGGGUAUGGCUGUUCGCCAUUUAAAGUGGUACGCGAGCUGGGUUUAGAACGUCGUGAGACAGUUCGGUCCCUAUCUGCCGUGGGCGCUGGAAGAUUGAGGGGGGCUGCUCCUAGUACGAGAGGACCGGAGUGGACGCAUCACUGGUGUUCGGGUUGUCAUGCCAAU